Molecule: ribosomal RNA, 1771 nt
Filed under: human oral metagenome
Description: bacterial LSU rRNA
Rfam family: Bacterial large subunit ribosomal RNA
Source: RNAcentral
UGCCUUUUGCAUAAUGAGCCUACGAGUUAAUUUUACUAGCGAGGUUAAGGUAUUAAGUACCGGAGCCGGAGCGAAAGCGAGUCUGAAUAGGGCGAAUAGUUAGUGGGAUUAGACGCGAAACCUUGUGAUCUACCCAUGGGCAGGUUGAAGCACUGGUAACACAGUGUGGAGGACCGAACCGGUUGACGUUGAAAAGUCUUCGGAUGACCUGUGGGUAGGGGUGAAAGGCCAAUCAAACUGGGAGAUAGCUCGUACUCCCCGAAAUGCAUUUAGGUGCAGCGUUGAUUUAGUUUAUUAGAGGUAGAGCUACUGAUUGGAUGCGGGGGUUUCACCGCCUACCAAUUCCUGACAAACUCCGAAUGCUAAUAAAUAUUGAUCAGCAGUGAGGGCAUGGGUGCUAAGGUCCAUGUCCGAGAGGGAAAGAACCCAGACCAACAGCUAAGGUCCCUAAAUAUAUGCUAAGUUGAAACAACGCGGUUGAACUGCAUUGACAGCUAGGAUGUUGGCUUGGAAGCAGCCAUUCAUUUAAAGAGUGCGUAACAGCUCACUAGUCGAGCGGUUCGGCAUGGAUAAUAAUCGGGCAUAAGCAUAUUACCGAAGCUAUGGCAACGAAAGUUGGGUAGGGGAGCAUUCUAUCGGCGCAGAAGCAUCACUGUGAGGUGUUGUGGAGCUUAUAGAAAAGAAAAUGUAGGCAUAAGUAACGAUAAAGCAGGCGAGAAACCUGCUCACCGAAAGACUAAGGGUUCCUCAGCCAUGCUAAUCAGCUGAGGGUUAGUCGGGACCUAACGCGAACCCGAGAGGGGAAGUGGAUGGACAAUGGGUUAAUAUUCCCAUACUUGCUCACGAAUAAAGGGGACGGUUCAGCCAGACUACUGGAGACUGACGGAAUAGUCAAGACCUAGCCUACGGGCGAAGUUGUUGUAGAGUAACUGGAUCCAAGAAAAGCCGAAGUGAAGCAACCCGUACCAUAAACCGACACAGGUAGUCGAGGAGAGAAUCCUAAGGUGCUCGAGUGAGUCGUGGCUAAGGAACUAGGCAAAAUAGUCUCGUAACUUCGGAAUAAGAGACGCCAACAGCGAUGUUGGCCGCAGUGAAGAGGCCCAGGCGACUGUUUAUCAAAAACACAGGACUCUGCUAAAUCGAAAGAUGCUGUAUAGGGUCUGACACCUGCCCGGUGCUGGAAGGUUAAGGAAGGUGCUUAGCGUAAGCGAAGGCAUUGACUGAAGCCCCAGUAAACGGCGGCCGUAACUAUAACGGUCCUAAGGUAGCGAAAUUCCUUGUCGGGUAAGUUCCGACCUGCACGAAUGGUGUAACGAUCUGGGCACUGUCUCAGCCACGAGCUCGGUGAAAUUGUAGUAUCGGUGAAGAUGCCGAUUACCCGCAAUGGGACGAAAAGACCCUGUGAACCUUUACUAUAACUUCGUAUUGACUUUGAGUAAGUAAUGUGUAGGAUAGGUGGGAGGCUAUGAAGCUGGCACGCUAGUGUUGGUGGAGCCGUUGUUGAAAUACCACCCUUUGCUUACUUGGAGCCUAACUUCUGAAUAAGAGUAAGAAGGACAUUGCGUGGUGGGUAGUUUGACUGGGGUGGUCGCCUCCAAAAGAGUAACGGAGGCUUUCAAAGGUACCCUCAGCACGCUUGGUAACCGUGCGUAGAGUGUAAUGGCAUAAGGGUGCUUGACUGUGAGACCAACAAGUCGAUCAGGUGCGAAAGCAGGACAUAGUGAUCCGGUGGUUCCGUAUGGAAGGGCCAUCGCUCAAAGGAUAAAAGGUA